UACGUAGGGCGCAAGCGUUGUCCGGAAUUAUUGGGCGUAAAGAGCUCGUAGGCGGCUUGUCACGUCGGGUGUGAAAGCCCGGGGCUUAACCCCGGGUCUGCAUUCGAUACGGGCUAGCUAGAGUGUGGUAGGGGAGAUCGGAAUUCCUGGUGUAGCGGUGAAAUGCGCAGACAUCAGGAGGAACACCGGUGGCGAAGGCGGAUCUCUGGGCCAUUACUGACGCUGAGGAGCGAAAGCGUGGGGAGCGAACAGG
RNAcentral lists this ribosomal RNA (253 nucleotides) under uncultured bacterium. RNAcentral describes it as "partial 16S ribosomal RNA". It matches the Rfam family "Bacterial small subunit ribosomal RNA", at positions 524 to 776 of the family's 1533-position model. The record is from RNAcentral.